GACCAGUGUAACACGACAGUGGAGUAUGUUGACAUCAUUAUUGCUGUAUCCUGCGCAUAUCAGAGCGCCAACCGUCUUUCUCGAGUCAAGAAAACGCUCAUCUGCCCAUGUCAUCCGACAAGGACUCGACUACAGUUCUCUCUGGAGUCUUAAAAAGUCCUGCUGGAUCCGGGCGUUACAUGCUUUGAGUCUCCAGAUGAAUUCUGCAGGGAGAUAGAAAGCUUCAAUGUGAGAUUGGAUAUUUCCAAGGCAGCAGCAGCAGCGAGGGGAAGAGCUUACAGAGUGCGCACUGAUGGAUAGGCUACCCUCCUGGGUGCGGGUAUUAGGAAAGGCGACCCGGUUAGACACACGCCCGGUGGAACAGAGACGUGAGAUGACAAGACAUAAGUUACAAAGAGCUUUUGUUCAACCCAGGAGGGAAUUUAAUACCGCACUGACGACACUUCUGCUCCUGCUCCUCUCGCCUCCGGACUGUCUGACUGGUGCGUUUUACGCACAUCUUUACACGGAAUAUUCAUCAUUGGCAUAUAACGGUAAGUUUUACACCUUUGUAUGUGAAAAUUGAGGGACCGUCUAUUCAUAAUCCAUUACAACUUGGCAUGAACAUGAGUUUUAAACAGAUAACCUCAGUCUGAUGUCAUCCUCUUAACUCCAUGGUGUGCAUUUUCAUCAUUUUGUGCUCCUGUAAGAACUUUGGAGAUAAGAAUAUAAGGGAAUAAAAUAGUGAUUCCUCCUUAUCAGGCUGCUGUGUUGAGUAUUUUUAUGCCUUUUUGUCAUUUUAUGUGAAUUGAGGUUGAAAUGCAAUGAAUAUUCUAUUAUUAGAUUUGAAACGUUAACGGCUGUGCAGCCCUCUUCAAUUCGGUUCUUUGCAGGUGACACUUCUUUCCCUCUGUGCAUGGCGUGCGUGUGCGCGCGUGCGUGAACGCUCAUAUGGGGGGGAGAGGGGGCGCGUGCUGCCACCAGACCCAAUGAAGGGAUAUUAAAUCACUGGGCCAGUACAGAGCGCGCAGAAACUGAUGGAGUAAGCUAAAGUGUGAGGGAUUGCUCCUCACUUUGUCCGCGAGUAAAUCUUCACUUUAUCAGCCGCUGUCAGGCUGCCGCUUCAGCACAAGAUUGCAAUAGCCACGCGCUGCAGCUCCGCGUCAGGAGUAGUGACCAGAUAAACGGAUUUUCCCUCACUACCUGGACUAAAUUGCUUCGCGAUUCAUACUGAGAGACAGACAGUCUUCUCAUAGUGCCACCACAUCCUUAUCCCGUCUAUGCUGCUGUGCUGCUGUAAUGAAAAAGCUCCAGGACGGCGAUGGAAAGGUAGGCUGGAUGAUUUCCUCUUCACUGACUCUGGGGUGUCACUGCAAAUUGGCACGAAUGAAUGUUGUUGAUGUGAUGAGCCAAAAACGCACCAUCAAAGACUUGUAGGGUGCUUGAUGUGCAGUUAAAAAUGGAGUUAAUUUUCCUGCAGGGCACAGGAAACCUGACGUCUGUGGAGAUCAAUCAGUAACUGUGAGGCAGCACUGAAGUGUCAGGGUGUCUUUGAAGGCUGCCUGGAAGUGUAAGGAAACUGAUUACCACAGAGCAACAUGAGAAAUUUUCCCUAAGCUUUGCCUCUUUUUUUUUUGAGUGCUUAGAUUCAGCAUAACAAGAGGGAACAUGAGCUUUAAAAUCUGUUUCGCUUGCAGGGAUGAGAACCUGCAGUCUUCAUGCACCUCCCUCACAUUCAGGGGUGGCGGGUCUCUUCUUUCACCUCUACAGGAACAGAGACACCCCAAAGUGUCCUGUCAGCAUCUGCAGGGAAAAGUAAAUCCCAGCAGCGGCCAGUGAGCCGGCUAUCAAUCCCGAAACACAACACCAACUCCAAUUAUGCUGAGAAAGCUUGGGAUGUGCUGUAUCUCUGUGUGAUUGCAGCCGUCUGUGUGUGUGGUGCACCUUUGAGACCACUACGACACUGGAGGGCUCACUUCAAUCCUUUGCGUACUGAUAUGAAUCACAAUGAUGUGCUGCCGUUAUCUGAGGUCAUCCCCCUGCAGAACUCCCCUACUUCUCAAACUGCUGAGUGUAACAGUCCAGCUUUUCCUCUAAUGAGAGUAAUUAUCCACUUGAGUUAAUAAUUAAUGGCAAUAAGGUCACUGAGUGAGUCACUUUUCAUGCUGUGUCCUGAUACCCAGCUGCAUCAGUUUGACUCCUUCGUUAGGGUAAACAUCUUUUCUUGCUAAUCAUGAGCUUAUCUCCAACUUUUAGCAGCUGCUGCACACAUGUCUGCUCAUGCAUGUGUCUUUUUCAUUGAUCAUUCUGACAAUAAGACCUCUGCAGGCACACCCAGUCAUUCUUCAAAUCACAAUGAGGAUACGUAGCCUCAUAAAGGAACCAAAAAAAAAAAAAAACCAAGGUUACUGCAUCACUUUCCGGAAAGUCUCUGCACAGGUUGGAAGUUGUCUUGACAGCGUUCUUUGUGGGGAGUUAACAUUUUCAUUUACUUCAAGGACAGCAGCUCAGAGAUUUGACUUCAUUCACAAUCAGCAGUCUGAUGGCUUUAAGACGCUGUUUCAUCAAGCCACUCAGUCUGAUAAAUAUAAUUUCAUAUUCAGCAUUUGAAGUGAUUACUCCCUCCAUGGAGAUUAUUUGAGAAGAGGGCUGACUCACUCAACUGUUACUGGAAACUGCUCUGCUCCUCUUCACCCAGAGACUUCAUUUCCUUUUGCGCUAUUUUCGACUAAACACCCUGCAUGGACUGUGUUUCUUGAUAGAAGAACAAGGAAGAAUCAAAAAACACCAAGUGAUCUGGUUAUUCGACCUUGUUACAUUUUCCUCCUUUAUACAGUUCUUUUUUUAACCAAUGCCUCAGAGCUAAAGUCCUGAUAGAUUUCAGCACUGACGCCCAUUUUUAGACAAUGGGGGAUGUGUUUCUAUGGUCCUGAGUGAACCUAUGCAUUUGGGAAGCAAAGCUGCUGGUGCCGGCUACUUUGCAGCACCAUGCAUAAUCAGGUUUUCUGAGAACAAAGAUGUUGGUUCUAUAAACAGUGUUUGUUUGGACGAUCUGGGCAUCCAGAACCCAAGAGAACAGUGGCUCUUUUCACAACACACCGAGGGGAAGGGACCCAGUGGAGGGACCAGCUAUGUUCUCAGUAAAAAGGUUGUGUACCCCUGGAGAAUAACAAAGAGAGGAGCGCGGAGGAAUAGUAAAGCCUUCUUCCAUUAUGUGCUUUUCAUAAUGAAAUGAUAGCGGGUUGGUGUAUAAAGACAUACCCUUUAAAAGCACAGACAAGCGUUAAAGGUAAACACAACCUUCACAGUAUAGCUAUUGUAUUAGUACAGUAUAAAGCAUGUGUAGUUUCACAAUACGCAAUCACCUGGUUAAACUAGGUUUUAGCUCAUUUUGUGGAUGCCAGUUGCUCUGCUCUCCCUCAGUACUGGACCAGUUUCAGAAAUUGUUCCUCCCAUCAGUCAUGAGGAAUAGAGCCUAAGUUGAAAAAUACCAAAAUUUUGCUUUAAUCACAUUUUGGCAGGUUACUCAGAUUUAUAAUGUUAAAACAAGAUAAACAAGCCUUUUUACAUCAACUCCCUUGAAUAUCAACAUAGGCGACUGAGUUGAUGAAAAGAGACUAUUAGCUAAGCAAGCGCACUUUCAUGAAGUCUCCAAAAUCCAACAAAAAAAGUCAAACUUUGUGUAUGUAAUUGAGGCAGAUUCCAGACCAGACUAUUCCAAUCGAAUGAAGUUCUGUAAACUCAUUUAAUAUCACUGAAAUUCCCGUGGAAAUAAAUGGACUUGUGGCUGACUCACAUGUAAACUUCACUCAAAAAAGUAGGGACGCAUAGUAUUGUCAGCACUGCAGCUUAAAAUGUCAAUUAGCACAGACAAAAAUAUCUGCACAUUUCUAUGGCCGAUAAGUCAAGGCAUUAAUUAUGUACACACAAUGACAAGUUUAAACAUGCCCACCGCAUGAGUAGGAGACAAAAACAACAAGAGAGCGUCUGCAAUACCUGUAAAGCUCAAGUGAAGGAAGGCUGAGCAAAACAAGAUAACAGUUUAAUGCAUUUUAAGACCUGUCAACCAGAACAGCAUCAAGAGUGUGAAGUAGACUCUACUCCAGUCAUUUAGCUAAGAAAUAAAGCAGAACCACACAAAGCUUAACAAGAAAAUUAUCGCUGCACUCAGGAACCAGCUUUUUAGAGUGGUGGGAGAUUCAGACUUCUACACCCUAUUAAGGUACUUGGAUGGUACUGGAGCUUAUAUUGAUUAGACAGUAUCAACAUCUCAGUUUACAUUUAUAAAAAUCCAGAAUUAUGCCUCUCUAUAAGAAAUAAUUGCAUUUGCUGCCUGAAAAGACCUGCUUAUCAUUCCUUCUUAAAUCAAAUCCAACUGCUGAAGAAGCAGCGUCUCCUCCUUUACUCAACAACUUGUCAUAUUUCACUUACUUGCAUGCAAAUGUAUGCAUGCUUGUUUUUUUGUUUUAUUUUUUGCUGUCAAUCUGUCACAUGAUGGAUCGACGCGGUGAUGCAUUGUACUGAUAAUAAACAGCUUGAGUAAUGGCCACGAGUACUUUGACUACUCUUCCUUUUUAUUAAGGCCCUCAGACUGCCUCAUUAAAGAAGAGUUUCUACAACAAGGAUAUCACUAAGCAUACAUUUGAAGUCUGGUUAUGUAAAUCUCUGGAAUCUGGUAUGCUGAUUUUCCCUUUGUUCACUCAGAUUAUGUCCUUGUUGACGUUAGAUCCACUCAUGCUCUUCUUCCUGUGAUCUGCCAAGAAGCUCAAAUCUGCCUCCAUAUAUAACACGUUGAUCAUAAAAGCCAUGCUAUUGUUACAGCUGGCACAAUACGCUAUUGUUAAGUCAACUAUUGUGCAAGUCUCUGAAAAGAGGAGGCUCUUUUCAAAAGAUGAAGUCUUGUGUGAGACAUGCACAGCACGUAUCCAUUACAUUCAUCGUCCUGAUUGUGGAGAAUAAGUGCGACUUAUUACUCAACAUCAAUACUUCAAUUACGAGUCCGAGUAAUUGCACACAGUGUCUGCUGCGUUUCAGCAGGCAAAGUCAUUUUAGGUCUGUCAAAACCCAUUGUUGCCUCGCUAAUGAAAGGCAAUCCACGUCAACGAUUAAAUGAAGGAUCUGGGUGGCCUCUUUCUCGGAGGCCAGGUUGCCUUGAGCAGUUUCCAUCCUUUAUUAGUCCCUAUUUUUGUCAAACGUCCUAUAUGAAGGCAGGGGAAGGAUUCGCUCUGAUUUCGAUUACAAAAGGAGUCACCGCCCUGCAAUGCCUUAUGCAUUUGAAGCCUAAAAUCAGCUAUUCCUGACAGCAUGCUUCAAAAGGAUCAUUCCCAAGAGUUUGGCCGACUCUCUAGUAUCUCUGAUAAAAUGCAAUUCCAUCCAACGCUGUUACCUUUAAAGCGUUCGAAGAUUUCACUCCGGUUCAAAACCUAUUUAAAAUCCCAACUGUGUUUCCCUUUUUCAAAUAUUGUAUUCUCCUUCUAUCCAGGAUAGGAACAAGGGUUAGAUGAAUUGAAUUUUGCCUCUAGCUCUCCUUCCUUUUUUCGUUUGCUUCGUCCUUUCAUCCGUCCUCUGAGUUCAUAUCCCUGUAGUCUCAAAUCUAGGUUGGACCCAUUUUCAUACAAGGACCUUGGCAAGAGAUGGAAGAAAAGUAAAGUAAUUGCUAAAUGCUUCACAGGCUCCAGUUUUGCUUCAGAGGCUGAUGUAAGCAUCUUUGAAAUGUUCCUCAGACUGGGGAACGAACGUGACAGAAAUGGGAUAAAUGUGGGAUCAAUGUCACGGCGAGAAAAAAAGCUACUUGAUUAUUUUUGUUCUCUUGCCUGUUGAUGUUCCUCCUGCAGAUCGAGGGCGUGUCUGUGAAGCCAUGACAUUUUCAGACCUUUGUUUGUGAUACACAGCUCAGGGUUCACUCAGCUCUGACCUUUUAAUCCCUGUUACAUGACGAUGGACUCCUCCUGAGAGAGAGAGACGAGCAGAAGACAAGACCGAAUAACAGAGGCAUGGCGUUUGUUUGGAAACUGAUUGCACGCCUUCCACCGCUCUGAUGACAAAUGAGGGAGGAAUAAAAAAACAGUCUGCCUGCAAAUAUCUCCAAUUUCUAUGCCCAACAGAUCCUAUUUCUUUUCAAUAGUGUAAUAAUGAUUACAUUUAUUCCCCAUGACAUUCACCGAUUCUGCUGUAGGGCCUUUAUAUAAGGACAUAGCAAACUGAUCUUUUUCUGAGGACCCCUGGCACUGGUAGUCAUUAACCUUCUAGUCAGGCAAUUUGGGCCAGAGGAGAGUUUUUUUCCAGGUGGAUGUGAGAUGUGGCUGGUUUCAGCUCUUCCCAAGGUGAGAAAGACUAUUUUCAGCGGGCAGGUGAUGAAUGUGGUGUCUGUGUGGGUGCUUCGCCUCUUUUGGCGCUCUCUUUUUUCGUUCUCAUUUGAUCUCCAUUAGUAUUUUCCUUUAUUCCAUUAGCCUUCGUGUUCAUUUUUCCGUCUCUUUCUCUGGUCCCACCACUGUCUGUCACUCUCUCCCUCCCAUUUUCUCCCAUCUGCUCCCUCCGUCUCUCACACAGGAUCUAUUGUAAUUGACUUUGCCUCUCAUCCUUCCUCGGUCUCCCCCCUCUUAUUUCCUUCCUCUGUGUCUCCCUGUCUUCCUCUUUAUAGCGGAUCAGCUGAUGUCCGCCCUGAGUUGAAGGUGACCCGUCGGCUGGGCCAGGGGCUGCAACACAGGACAUGGGUCCUGCCUCUCCUCCCCGCUCGUGUCUUGUGUUGCAGCCAGUGGAGCUGCCUGUCUGUCUCCCUGCCUGUCUGUCUGACUGACUGACCACCACAGCUGGACUGAGCUGCCAUGGAUCACCUGGACCUGGAACCUAUUUCUGAGUUUGCAUUGUUUUUAUGACUUAUCCUUGUUAUUUCCACAGUUUUGAAUCCAUCACGUUGACCUACCAUACAGUUACAAGGCAGACGGCUGUCCACCCAUAAGUCCGGUUCUGCCUGAGGUUUCUGGGCUAAUGAGUUUUCCCUUGCCAGUGUAACAGAGCAGCCUCAGUGCAAAAAUGUGUGCUGCUACAGUGUAGACCUGCUCUUUGUGUGAAGUGUCCGAAGAUAACUCCUUUUGUGACUAAGCGCUUCAACAAUAAACAAUAACUUAUAAAAAUAUGAAAAAUACUCCUGUUGUGAAACUAACUGUGGACUUAGCUGAGAUCUACUUGCUUGAGGUUAUUUUGUCCUCACCAUAAAUUGUUUAAAAGGUGGGAGUAGACUCAGAUAUAUUACUGAAUAUCAAUGCCACAUUAAGAAAGGAAAAAAGGCCAAAAAAAACUUCACCUGUGGAACAAACUCCCUGAGCACCUUAGGUGCGUACAAAGAGUCAGCUCAUUUAAAUCAGGGCUGAAAACAUUACUGUUUACUGCAGCUCUCCUGUCAGUUUCUUUUACUUCUACUUUGAUAUCUGCUGUUCUGUUGUUUUCAACUGAUUUUAAAAUACAUUUUCAUAUUUUAUUGAUUUUAGGUUGACAAUGCUUCAUCUGUUCCGUGUUUUUCAGGGGAAUAAAAAAACAAAUUGGGACCUAACUAAUGAAAUGGGAAGACUAGGCAAAAGGCUGGGGAGCUCCGGGUCAGUGACCCACUGUAAACUGUGAACUGAAGAAUGAAAACGUAGUAAGAAUAAGAAUAACUUCAAGGUUGGAGGUGGUAAUAAGGUUGUAUAAGGUUGUUAAAGGAGCACCGAUCAGAGUAAAGUCAUGUGGCCCGAAUAUUCCUUUGUGCAGUGAUGCCACCUUGGCUCCCAAUGAGGGUUAUGAAGCCCACUUAAAGUAUUGGAAAUGUUAUUUUUGCUGAACUUUUGGCUGAUGUAGAGACUGGUUAGUGAAGGUAGAGUUGAGGGUGGUCCUUUAGCCUGUCAAUCAAAUAAGCCGCACCCUUGACAAGACAGAUAAAGAAAUGAGCAACAGAGACUAAAACUUUCUUGUCUCAUGCCGUCAGCAUUUAAACUCUGCAGUUAAAAUCAGAGUAUUAAAAUCCUUCAGUGGACACUCCAGAAAACAUUUCUUUUGCACGUCUACAUUCAUUAUUCACUGAGUCUUAACACAUUAUUCAAAGGCAGUAAUCUGUUUGGGCAGAUCGCUGUUUACCGAUGAGUCGGGCUCUGCUUGUGGAUUCUGCUCAUACAUAGAAGUUUUCUUGCCACUCUCACCAAGUGCUUGUUCAUGUUGGAUUACUAUUCGGUCUCUCAUAUUUGUAUAACAGUUUAGAUCUGCUUCAUGUAAGUGAUUAAUUGAUUGAUUUAUGAACUGAAUAAAGUGCAUAAAACAUUA
Molecule: long non-coding RNA, 8271 nt
Filed under: Xyrichtys novacula (pearly razorfish)
Lineage: Eukaryota; Metazoa; Chordata; Actinopteri; Labriformes; Labridae
Rfam family: mir-187 microRNA precursor family (bases 6659-6743)
Source: RNAcentral